GCCCUUCGGGGUGGAUUAGUGGCGAACGGGUGAGUAACACGUGGGCAAUCUGCCCUUCACUCUGGGACAAGCCCUGGAAACGGGGUCUAAUACCGGAUAACACUCUGUCCCGCAUGGGACGGGGUUAAAAGCUCCGGCGGUGAAGGAUGAGCCCGCGGCCUAUCAGCUUGUUGGUGGGGUAAUGGCCUACCAAGGCGACGACGGGUAGCCGGCCUGAGAGGGCGACCGGCCACACUGGGACUGAGACACGGCCCAGACUCCUACGGGAGGCAGCAGUGGGGAAUAUUGCACAAUGGGCGAAAGCCUGAUGCAGCGACGCCGCGUGAGGGAUGACGGCCUUCGGGUUGUAAACCUCUUUCAGCAGGGAAGAAGCGAAAGUGACGGUACCUGCAGAAGAAGCGCCGGCUAACUACGUGCCAGCAGCCGCGGUAAUACGUAGGGCGCAAGCGUUGUCCGGAAUUAUUGGGCGUAAAGAGCUCGUAGGCGGCUUGUCACGUCGGAUGUGAAAGCCCGGGGCUUAACCCCGGGUCUGCAUUCGAUACGGGCUAGCUAGAGUGUGGUAGGGGAGAUCGGAAUUCCUGGUGUAGCGGUGA
This 593-nucleotide ribosomal RNA is filed under the name Streptomyces anulatus. RNAcentral's name for it is "bacterial SSU rRNA". It matches the Rfam family "Bacterial small subunit ribosomal RNA", at positions 75 to 684 of the family's 1533-position model. The record is from RNAcentral. Lineage: Bacteria; Bacillati; Actinomycetota; Actinomycetes; Kitasatosporales; Streptomycetaceae.